CGAGACCUCAGGUCAGACGGGGCUACCCGCUGAGUUUAAGCAUAUCAAUAAGCGGAGGGAAAGAAACUAACAAGGAUUUUCCCCUUUAU
RNAcentral lists this ribosomal RNA (89 nucleotides) under Lonchocarpus eriocarinalis. RNAcentral describes it as "partial 28S ribosomal RNA". It matches the Rfam family "Eukaryotic large subunit ribosomal RNA", at positions 1 to 87 of the family's 3401-position model. The record is from RNAcentral. Lineage: Eukaryota; Viridiplantae; Streptophyta; Magnoliopsida; Fabales; Fabaceae.